CCUACGGGGGGCAGCAGUGGGGAAUAUUGGACAAUGGGGGCAACCCUGAUCCAGCCAUGCCGCGUGUGUGAAGAAGGCCCUCGGGUUGUAAAGCACUUUCAGUGAGGAAGAACGCCUGGUGGUUAAUACCCAUCAGGAAAGACAUCACUCACAGAAGAAGCACCGGCUAACUCCGUGCCAGCAGCCGCGGUAAUACGGAGGGUGCGAGCGUUAAUCGGAAUUACUGGGCGUAAAGCGCGCGUAGUUGGCUUGAUAAGCCGGUUGUGAAAGCCCCGGGCUCAACCUGGGAACGGCAUCCGGAACUGUCAAGCUAGAGUGCAGGAGAGGAAGGUAGAAUUCCCGGUGUAGCGGUGAAAUGCGUAGAGAUCGGGAGGAAUACCAGUGGCGAAGGCGGCCUUCUGGACUGACACUGACACUGAGGUGCGAAAGCGUGGGUAGCAAACAGGAUUAGAUACCCUAGUAGUC
This 465-nucleotide ribosomal RNA is filed under the name Vreelandella stevensii. RNAcentral's name for it is "partial 16S ribosomal RNA". It matches the Rfam family "Bacterial small subunit ribosomal RNA", at positions 338 to 795 of the family's 1533-position model. Lineage: Bacteria; Pseudomonadati; Pseudomonadota; Gammaproteobacteria; Oceanospirillales; Halomonadaceae. The record is from RNAcentral.